AUUUCUAAUUAUAUUUAUAUAGUUUAAUUAAAACAUUACAACUUUUCAUUGUAAAAUUAUUAUUAUUUUAUAA
RNAcentral lists this transfer RNA (73 nucleotides) under Microtrichalus sp. A00316. RNAcentral describes it as "tRNA-Glu". Lineage: Eukaryota; Metazoa; Arthropoda; Insecta; Coleoptera; Lycidae. The record is from RNAcentral.